Molecule: ribosomal RNA, 496 nt
Filed under: uncultured bacterium
Lineage: Bacteria
Description: partial 16S ribosomal RNA
Rfam family: Bacterial small subunit ribosomal RNA
Source: RNAcentral
AUGAACGCUGGCGGCGUGCCUAAUACAUGCAGGUCGAGCGAACGGACGAGAAGCUUGCUUCUCUGAUGUUAGCGGCGGACGGGUGAGUAACACGUGGAUAACCUACCUAUAAGACUGGGAUAACUUCGGGAAACCGUAGCUAAUACCGGAUAAUAUUUUGAACCGCAUGGUUCAAAAGUGAAAGACGGUCUUGCUGUCACUUAUAGAUGGAUCCGCGCUGCAUUAGCUAGUUGGUAAGGUAACGGCUUACCAAGGCAACGAUGCAUAGCCGACCUGAGAGGGUGAUCGGCCACACUGGAACUGAGACACGGUCCAGACUCCUACGGGAGGCAGCAGUAGGGAAUCUUCCGCAAUGGGCGAAAGCCUGACGGAGCAACGCCGCGUGAGUGAUGAAGGUGUUCGGAUCGUAAAACUCUGUUAUUAGGGAAGAACAUAUGUGUAAGUAACUGUGCACAUCUUGACGGUACCUAAUCAGAAAGCCACGGCUAACUACGUG